This 119-nucleotide ribosomal RNA is filed under the name Oncorhynchus kisutch (coho salmon). The record is from RNAcentral. Lineage: Eukaryota; Metazoa; Chordata; Actinopteri; Salmoniformes; Salmonidae.
GCUUACGACCACACCGUGCCUGAGUACGCCUGAUCUCGUCUGAUCUCGGAAGCUAAGCAGGUUGGGCCUGGUUAGUACGUGGAUGGGAGACUGCCUGGGAAUACCAGGUGCUGUAAGCU